RNAcentral lists this ribosomal RNA (612 nucleotides) under uncultured Actinomycetes bacterium. Its description in RNAcentral is "uncultured actinobacterium partial 16S ribosomal RNA". The record is from RNAcentral. Lineage: Bacteria; Bacillati; Actinomycetota; Actinomycetes.
GGGAGCUCUCCCAUAUGGUCGACCUGCAGGCGGCCGCGAAUUCACUAGUGAUUGUAUUACCGCGGCUGCUGGCACGUAGUUAGCCGGGGCUUCUUCUGGAGGUACCGUCACCCUCUGGGCUAUUAACCCGAGUGGCUUCGUCCCUCCUGAAAGCGGUUUACAACCCGAAGGCCUUCUUCCCGCACGCGGCGUCGCUGCGUCAGGCUUUCGCCCAUUGCGCAAGAUUCCCCACUGCUGCCUCCCGUAGGAGUCUGGGCCGUGUCUCAGUCCCAGUGUGGCUGAUCGUCCUCUCAGACCAGCUAUGGAUCGUCGCCUUGGUGGGCCGUUACCCCGCCAACAAGCUAAUCCACCGCGGACCCAUCCUCGGCCAGAGGCCGAAGCUACCUUUUCCCACGUUCCCCGCAGGGAUGUGGGGCUAUCCGGCAUUAAUCCGGGUUUCCCCGGGCUAUUCCGGUGCCGAGGGCAGGUUAUCCACGUGUUACUCACCCGUUCGCCGCUGUCCCCAGGGCCGAAGCCCUGGUUCUCGCUCGACUUGCAUGUGUUAGGCGCGCCGCCAGCGUUCGUCCUGAGCCAUGAUCAAACUCUAAUCGAAUUCCCGCGGCCGCCAUGGCG